GAGGGGGCAGUCACGUGAGCCGGUCACGUGCUACCACAGUGGCAGCGUUGGGCCCGCAGGAGCCGGUUCUAAGCGCAGCUACGGACCCGAACGCGGCUUCCCCCCACCCACUUCCGGGACCCUCAUGGCGGGGGCAGGGCGCGGCGCGCGCGGGGAGCAGCCGGCGGGCGGGGCUACAGGCGCCUACGCGGCUUCGUCGCCUGGCCCCGCUGCUGAGCGCCAGUGACAAGACUGCACCUGAGCUGGUGCUCUCUGCUCCUCCACCUUCUUGUCUCUCACUGGAGUUCUCGGACCUGUCCACACACAAUUUCAGUAGCUUCCUUGGCCCUGGAUGGCUGGCGAAGAGGGAUGUUUAGUCUGAUGGCCAAUUGCUGUAACUGGUUAAAACGGUGGCGGGAGCCUGUCAGGAAGGUGACACUAGUGAUGGUGGGACUUGAUAAUGCUGGUAAAACUGCUACAGUGAAAGGAAUCCAAGGAGAGUCUCCUGAAGAUGUAGCUCCAACAGUUGGAUUUUCUAAAAUUGACCUUAAACAGGGAAGGUUUGAAGUCACUAUCUUUGACUUAGGAGGUGGAAAACGAAUACGAGGCAUCUGGAAGAAUUACUAUGCUGAGGCAUAUGGGAUAAUAUUUGUUGUGGAUUCCAGUGACACAGAGAGAAUGGAAGAGACGAAAGAGACCAUGACUGAAGUUCUAAGACAUCCUAGGAUAUCUGGGAAGCCUAUAUUGGUGCUGGCAAAUAAGCAGGACCGAGAAGGAGCAUUGGCAGAAGCAGAUGUAAUUGAGUGCUUAUCGCUGGAAAAGCUUGUCAAUGAGCAUAAAUGUCUGUGUCAGAUUGAGCCUUGCUCAGCUGUUAUGGGCUAUGGGAAAAAAAUUGACAAAUCUAUAAGAAAAGGUCUGUAUUGGCUGCUGCAUACUAUAGCAAAAGAUUUUGAUGCCUUAAAUGAGCGCGUCCAGAAAGAUACAUCAGAGCAAAAAGCAUAUGAGGAACAAGAGAAGCGAGAACGAGCUGAACGAGUAAGAAAGAUACGAGAAGAAAGAGAACAAAGGGAGAGAAAAGAAACUGACUUUGAAGGAAGAAGUGUACCUAAGGAAGUUGACUCUGAGCCAAUUUCUAGCAACCCCUUCCAGCCAAUAUCUACUGUAAUCACUGAGAAUGAAAAAAGAAUUGAACAAGAGAAGAGGCAGAGGAUGGAGAUUGAAAAGGAUGCCAUUGCCUUGAAACCUAAAGCAGAGCAGGAACAAAUGGACACACAGAGCCUGACCAGCAGCUGUAGCCAAAAAACAAAUGAUUAUAGACUUAUAGAAACAUACAAAUCUGCACUCGCACAGCAAUUAGAGCAUGAAGAAGAGGGUGACCAACAAACCUCAGAAUGCCUUGAUUCAGAUACCAGUAAAAAGAAAACAAAGAAACUCAAGUUAAAAAGGAGUCACAGGGUGGAACCAAUCAGUGCAGAGGAAGCUGUUCCCAAAAAUCCGACCCCACCUCCGCCUCUUCCACCAGAUCUUGGAAAUCAUGCACCUUGGUAUAACUUGAACAUUACUUCUAUGGCAGGAAAAAAAAAUACUGAUGGUACCUACAGCAAUUAACAGUUGGCUGGGGAACCCCCAACGUUAAUAGACUUCGAAAACUUGAACCUCUUGGUGAAACCCGUCAUACUGGAGUUUAAAGAGAAGAAAGAGAGAAAGAAAAGCCAGAAAAGAGAUUUCUAUGGAAAGCCGCUACCUCCAUUGACUAUACGGCAGAGACCUAACAGUGACACUCAUGAUAUCAUUUCUUAACCAGAUCACAUGCUACAUUUUUAAUUUAAUCACAACAUUAUAUUAAACAAUUUUCUUACUUGAAGAAAACUUGAUACUGUUUUAAAAGUUGCUGUGAGAUGAGACAGUAAGAACCCAUCUUCUCUUCUGCCAUAGAUUAAUUCUACCGGAUUUGAUUGAUGAGAUUUUCUACUUGGCUUAUUAGUUACUGUUCACAUUUUCACCAGCUCUUCUUCAGGGGUUAACAGGGAGAUGGAGAACAGAAAUGUUUGAGAGCACUUGCAUGCAUAUGGAAUUUGGGAUCAGGUUGGUACUGUUGGGUUUUAUGUUGGGGUUUUCUUGCCAGACUAUAUAGCUAUAACCCUGAAGAAAAACACCUUCAAGACCAAAUGCAAUUGGAUUUGGUGUGCUCAUCAAGACUGUCGUUCAUAUGUUGUGUAGUAAUCCAUAUUUCUACAGCUAAUAAUUUUAAGGCAUUUUGUAAGAUGUGUGCAUGUUAGAGUGAAUACAGAGAAUUAUACGCUACAAAUGUUAACUAUAUUUUUAUAAUUUUUUCUAAUAUUUUAUCUGGGAAUUUGAUUUAACAUUAAUGCCUGUUACUCACCAUCAAAAUGUUGUCUAGAAAGUGUUAGAAAUUUGUUGAUAGCUUUACCCAUAUGAGUAUAUUGACUUUUAUGUUUACUUUACAAUAGCAAUACAUUUUGUUUGGGAUUUAUGUCACCAGUUGCCCUAAUUAUUCAUAUAUUGCCCUUCUGGCAGUCUCUGGGGUUUUUAAGAUAAACAGAUUUUGCACAUAAUUAUGGUACUUUGAUAGACUGUCUAAAAGUUUUCUUCUUAUGGAUCAUUUUCUUUCUUUUUUUUUAAUGGGAGUUGAUAUGCACAGUAAAUAUAUUUUCAAAUAUCUUAAUUAGAUAGUGUAUUGUGUGCUAUAAGAUAAAAUUGCAGACAAUUGAAAUGUUGAACUCAUUUCAACUAAGAAUUCUGGUGAAAAAUCAAAUCAUUUAGCAUACAUGUCUGUUUAAUGUGUUCUGUAAACACUAAAAAUGUCAUAUUGAAAAUGUAAAACCUGAGAUUUUUAAGCCAAUGUAAUGAGGCCAAUUCUAACCUUCUAAAUAAUGUGCCUCUCUCAUAUUUAUUUUUUUUAAAGGGAGGGUAUGUUGGAGGAGAGAAUUGGAUUUACAGUACUUUAGAUGUUUUGAUAUAAGUUUGUAUUCUGUUACAUUUGGGAGAAUAAUUUCUAUACCAUGUGUGUACGUAUAAUUUUACUACUUAGCUGCUGGUGAUUGGAAGAAAUUCCCUGCAAUGUUAUAGUGAGGUUGAAAGCAUUUGUGAAAAAAGCACAGGUCCUAAAUGAAAGGUUUUUGGAAUAGGCAGGCAAUGGUGACUUUCUAUUACACUACCAGCUUCCCGUCAUCUCAUACUAGCAAAAGACACUAGGCAGUGCUAAUGCAGUGAAAUAUGUUCGUCAGCUACCUUAAAAUUUGAAAGCAUUGCAUGAGGUUUUAGCCACAUGACUCUUGUUAAAGUCAAUGGGAGUGACACAGCUAAAACCCCACAUAAUUAUUUUGAAAUAUAACCCUUACUUAAUGGCUUAAAACAUUAGUUUGUUUUAAUUAAAGCAAAACAGUCACUAGUAUUAAGGAUGUUGUAUUGCAUUAGGAAGAGAGAGUACUCAAAUUCAGUGAGUAACAGUAUGUAUAAAACCAUUUGAAUGUGACUGGAAAGAGCAGGAGAAUACUUCCCUGGUAGUGGUAACAGGGUAUGAUAUGGUAACAGGGUUCUGUUUGAAUAAAUAAUGAUACCAUUGUGAUGUAGUUUGGCUUGCUUUCAAUAAACGUGUCUUAAUAUUUAGCAUUCUUUCCUUAAAAGUUUACACGCAUGAUCCCAUUAAUCUUACCAUUUUUAGCUACCUUGUCAUAAACGUUCCUUUGGCUGAAAGGGUCUAUGUAUUGUAGUUUGACACUUUUUUCAGUUUCAUAUUGACCGUUGAGGUUUUUUCUUUUUUACCCAUAUGCAAAACAAAUUAAAUUAAUGAAAGUCUUUGUUUCUCUUUUUGAAGUGCAACUAAAAAGAAAGCUGGCAUGGAAGGUAAAUGAGAAACUGAAACUUAAAACAAUGAUAUUUCUCACAUUCAAAAUUUGUUUCUACUGUUAAAAUAAAUGUAUAUUGUUAUAAGACCAAAUUACUAAAAAUAUUUUUCAUACAGUUUUAUAUAUGAAAGCGUACUGUAAUUGACUGCAUUGUUUUUCUCAUUAUUUUAUACUACAUCAGCUUUUUAUUUGUUGAAGGUCACAUUUCCUGAGGACUUCUGUGUAUAGAAUAAAACUAAUGUACAGCA
RNA transcript from Mauremys reevesii (Reeves's turtle), 4096 nucleotides. It is a transcript of the gene named ADP ribosylation factor like GTPase 13B, with no coding region annotated. The record is from RefSeq and is a predicted model, not a curated record. Lineage: Eukaryota; Metazoa; Chordata; Testudines; Geoemydidae. The transcript is spliced from 13 exons.